This 259-nucleotide long non-coding RNA is filed under the name Setaria viridis. RNAcentral's name for it is "long non-coding RNA (SVIR_LNC001096)". The record is from RNAcentral. Lineage: Eukaryota; Viridiplantae; Streptophyta; Magnoliopsida; Poales; Poaceae.
GAGGAUGGGGAGGCCACCGGGAGGGAUGAAGGAGGACGGAGGGAGGUGGAACCGUGAAGGUUGGAGGGAGGAUGGGGAGCGGCUCCAGCCUGGAGGAGGAGGGAUGAGAAGAUGAGGAUAGGAGAAGUGGAGAAUUGUAUGGUGGUCUGGUGGAGAAGUUAACAGGCCUUCUCGGACUCGCCACCUAAAAUCGGGUCGGACUGGGCCGCCCGUCGUGCUGGGGUGGUAGCCCACGCUCGGCACGAGCUACCGGGUCAGG